UACGGAGGGUGCAAGCGUUAUCCGGAAUCACUGGGUUUAAAGGGUGCGUAGGUGGCCCGAUAAGUCAGAGGUGAAAGCCCGUCGCUUAACGAUGGAAUUGCCUUUGAUACUGUUGGGCUUGAAAUAGGUUGAGGUAGGCGGAAUGUGACAUGUAGCGGUGAAAUGCAUAGAUAUGUCAUAGAACACCAAUUGCGAAGGCAGCUUACUGGACCUUAUUUGACGCUGAGGCACGAAAGCGUGGGGAUCAAACAGGAUUAGAUACCCUGGUAGUCCACGCCCUAAACGAUGCUUACUCGAUAUCUGGGCUUCGGUCUGGGUGUCCAAGGGAAACCGAUAAGUAAGCCACCUGGGGAGUACGCGCGCAAGCGUGAA
This 372-nucleotide ribosomal RNA is filed under the name uncultured bacterium. Its description in RNAcentral is "bacterial SSU rRNA". It matches the Rfam family "Bacterial small subunit ribosomal RNA", at positions 524 to 898 of the family's 1533-position model. The record is from RNAcentral.